UGAAGAUUUUCGGAUCGUAAACUCCUGUCGAAUGGGACGAACGGAUCAUGGGUUAAUAACCUGUGGUCGUGACGGUACCGUUAAAGGAAACCCCGGCUAACUCCGUGC
This 108-nucleotide ribosomal RNA is filed under the name uncultured bacterium. RNAcentral's name for it is "partial 16S ribosomal RNA". The record is from RNAcentral.